AGCAUGUUAUAGAUUUUUGCCAUUUUGCAGAAAAUAUGCAAAAUAUGAAGAAAAUACUAUGUAUAUUAAGAGUUGAUCAAAUUAACAAAUAUGUGGCUUUGGUGGGCCUCUAUGAAUGUUGAUCCCACUGGCAUAUUAUUUUGUGUUUAAU
Molecule: long non-coding RNA, 151 nt
Organism: Thalassophryne amazonica
Lineage: Eukaryota; Metazoa; Chordata; Actinopteri; Batrachoidiformes; Batrachoididae
Exons: 3
Source: RefSeq, a predicted model, not a curated record